GCCAGGUGUGGUGGCAUAUGCCUGUAGUCCUAGCUACUCUGGAGGCUGAGGUGGGAGAAUUGCUUGAGCCCAGGAGUUCGAGGCUGCAGUAAGCUAUGAUUAUGCCACUGCACUCCAGCCUGGGCAACAGAGUAAGACCCUGUCUUUU
This 148-nucleotide non-coding RNA is filed under the name Gorilla gorilla gorilla (western lowland gorilla). Lineage: Eukaryota; Metazoa; Chordata; Mammalia; Primates; Hominidae. The record is from Rfam by way of RNAcentral.